GGAGGGAUCAUUACCGAGUUUACAACUCCCAAACCCCUGUGAACAUACCUAUACGUUGCCUCGGCGGAUCAGCCCGCGCCCCGUAAAAAGGGACGGCCCGCCCGAGGACCCCUAAACUCUGUUUUUAGUGGAACUUCUGAGUAAAACAAACAAAUAAAUCAAAACUUUCAACAACGGAUCUCUUGGUUCUGGCAUCGAUGAAGAACGCAGCAAAAUGCGAUAAGUAAUGUGAAUUGCAGAAUUCAGUGAAUCAUCGAAUCUUUGAACGCACAUUGCGCCCGCCAGUAUUCUGGCGGGCAUGCCUGUUCGAGCGUCAUUUCAACCCUCAAGCUCAGCUUGGUGUUGGGACUCGCGGUAACCCGCGUUCCCCAAAUCGAUUGGCGGUCACGUCGAGCUUCCAUAGCGUAGUAAUCAUACACCUCGUUACUGGUAAUCGUCGCGGCCACGCCGUAAAACCCCAACUUCUGAAUGUUGACCUCGGAUCAGGUA
RNAcentral lists this ribosomal RNA (489 nucleotides) under Fusarium sp. FSU9300. Its description in RNAcentral is "eukaryotic LSU rRNA". The stretch from base 163 to 316 matches the Rfam family "5.8S ribosomal RNA". The record is from RNAcentral. Lineage: Eukaryota; Fungi; Ascomycota; Sordariomycetes; Hypocreales; Nectriaceae.